Molecule: non-coding RNA, 74 nt
Organism: Molorchus minor
Lineage: Eukaryota; Metazoa; Arthropoda; Insecta; Coleoptera; Cerambycidae
Source: the annotation of a GenBank genome assembly
GGGUUGGUAGCCGAACGGUUAAAGCGAUAGUGUCUUAAACCUAGCCAAGGUGGGUUCAAUCCCCACCAAAUUCA